Molecule: ribosomal RNA, 253 nt
Filed under: uncultured bacterium
Lineage: Bacteria
Description: partial 16S ribosomal RNA
Rfam family: Bacterial small subunit ribosomal RNA
Source: RNAcentral
UACGUAGGGGGCUAGCGUUGUCCGGAAUCAUUGGGCGUAAAAAGCGUGUAGGCGGUCCGGUAAGUCCGCUGUGAAAGUCGGGGGCUCAACCCUCGAAUGCCGGUGGAUACUGUCGGGCUAGAGUGCGGAAGAGGCGAGUGGAAUUCCUGGUGUAGCGGUGAAAUGCGCAGAUAUCAGGAGGAACACCUAUUGCGAAGGCAGCUCGCUGGGACGUAACUGACGCUGAGACGCGAAAGCGUGGGGAGCAAACAGG